UGACAAGUCGUUUUUAUCGCCUUUCUCGCGGACUUCCAAUUAUCAAGGAAAAGUGUGUACGUCUCCAGGACGACUGGCUUCGUGAACUGUCGAGAAAACAGAAAUAUGCGUUAGAGCCUCUAACAGACAAAGAAGCGUAUUUAUAUUUCUUACAUUUUCUACAGAUAACGAGUAUUUUAUAUUAAAGUUUCAAAAUGAAGAAACGCUGAACAUUUUUACCUGAUAGAAGAUCUCGUCCACUGUCGCGGCAUCCACCAAACCAGCAUUUUCGGAACUCUUCAACGGUUUUACACAGCGGAUGGUGGUUGCUAGAGUUUGACGAAAACAACAACCUGGGGAUGCGUGACUGCAUAACUUAGAGAGAUACUGUUCACGAAGUAGAUCACUCGAGUGGAAUCCUUGUUCGAAUGAAGUAAAUAAACGAGUAAUGAGCUUGUUUACGAGAAACAAGGACGCGGCAUCGAUAUUCGAGGAACUUUGGAAUAGCGCAUUUCAAUCGAGUUGGCUGCUGGCAUUUCUCCGCAAGGAAAAAUAACACAAACCGAGACAACACGUUCUCAGUUGAAUUAAGAUAUUAUUCUGUGUCCUGUUGUGCCCUGUUCCCCGUAAUCAAUAACAGAUUUCUGGGAAAGAAUAAUUGUUGCAUUUUCCGAAUAUCCAUCAGUUUUGUAAUUAUUCUCUUAAUUACACGUUUUGGAAAAUACAUUUUGAUUAACGUUCAUCGAAUUGGUCUUUGAUUUGAACAAACACUUGAAAUAAAAUCGAAGAUUGAAUUUUAUUAUGGUAGACGGUGAAAUUUAUUUAUGGAUUUAAACAAAAUGU
Long non-coding RNA from Hylaeus volcanicus, 822 nucleotides. RefSeq lists it as uncharacterized. NCBI's taxonomy places the organism in Eukaryota, Metazoa, Arthropoda, Insecta, Hymenoptera, Colletidae. The record is from RefSeq and is a predicted model, not a curated record. The transcript is spliced from 3 exons.